Molecule: unclassified non-coding RNA, 230 nt
Filed under: plant metagenome
Description: partial contains small subunit ribosomal RNA, internal transcribed spacer 1, and 5.8S ribosomal RNA
Source: RNAcentral
UCUCCGUAGGUGAACCUGCGGAGGGAUCAUUACAGAGUUCAUGCCCUCCGGGUAGAUCUCCCACCCAUUGCUAUAACUACUCUCGUUGCUUUGGCGGGCCGCUGGGCCCCGCCCGGCCGCCGGCCCCGGCUGGCGCGUGCCCGCCAGAGACCUCACAAACUCUGAAUGUUAGUGUCGUCCGAGUAACUAUACAAUCGUUAAAACUUUCAACAACGGAUCUCUUGGUUCUG